Molecule: long non-coding RNA, 563 nt
Organism: Vombatus ursinus (common wombat)
Lineage: Eukaryota; Metazoa; Chordata; Mammalia; Diprotodontia; Vombatidae
Exons: 2
Source: RefSeq, a predicted model, not a curated record
CUGUAAGAUUGGGUUCACCAUUAAAGUGAGUCUUCAUCAGCAAGGGCAUUGGAAAGAAUGGAAGAUUAAAGCAGCUUGCGGAGACAAUCUUCAUCUGACAUUGACUCAAGACCAUUCACCCUUCUGGUUGCCCUUCUCUCAACAUUCUCCAGUUCAUCAGUGUUCUUAAGCUGUGGUCCCCAGAACUGAAGACUGUCCUCCAGAGAAGGCCUAACUAGGGCAGCAUACAGUGGGCUUAUCACCUCCCCCUUCCUGGAAGAUACACCUCUCUUAGUGCAAACCAAGAUAGCAUUACCUUUCUUCGUGGCCACAUCCUUCUGCUGAUUCAUUAAACCUUCAGUUCGAUAAAACCCCCAGAUGCUUCAACUGAUGUCUAACAACUCUUUCUCUAUCCUAUUCUUGUGAGGCUGAUUCCCAAGUAUAACGUUUAAUUUAACCCUAUUGAAUUUCAUGACAUUAGAUUCAGUCCAAUGCUAGCCUGUCAAGAUCUAUUGGAUCCUAACUCUAUCUUCCAUUGUGAGUUGAUGACUAAAUUUAUAAUAAAAAUGAAUUUUUUUAAGUUA